GUUGGAUGCUAAAUUUUGUAUUAAUAUACUAAGAAUGUGUUUUAUUCUCAUAAAAUUAUCCCCUUUUUCAUCAAAUUGUUUUGUGUAAGACCAACUUCCUUAGGUAGGAGCCAAAUAAAACAUGAUACCUUGUAGGGUAUACUCGCUUUCCAUAUAGUUUUCCAGGGCCAGUUGACAAUUGGUUGAUUGUGAGUAUUCAACCAUCUGUAUGCUUUGCCAACCUGGAAGUUUCCUCUGUCACUGCCUUGCCACCAAAGUUCAUCUUCUUCUACUUUUGUUAUUUUAAACUGG
This 291-nucleotide unclassified non-coding RNA is filed under the name Hevea brasiliensis (rubber tree). The record is from RNAcentral. Lineage: Eukaryota; Viridiplantae; Streptophyta; Magnoliopsida; Malpighiales; Euphorbiaceae.